GAUGAACGCUGGCGGCGUGCCUAAUACAUGCAAGUCGAGCGAACGGACGAGAAGCUUGCUUCUCUGAUGUUAGCGGCGGACGGGUGAGUAACACGUGGAUAACCUACCUAUAAGACUGGGAUAACUUCGGGAAACCGGAGCUAAUACCGGAUGAUAUUUUGAACCGCAUGGUUCAAAAGUGAAAGACGGUCUUGCUGUCACUUAUAGAUGGAUCCGCGCUGCAUUAGCUAGUUGGUAAGGUAACGGCUUACCAAGGCAACGAUGCAUAGCCGACCUGAGAGGGUGAUCGGCCACACUGGAACUGAGACACGGUCCAGACUCCUACGGGAGGCAGCAGUAGGGAAUCUUCCGCAAUGGGCGAAAGCCUGACGGAGCAACGCCGCGUGAGUGAUGAAGGUCUUCGGAUCGUAAAACUCUGUUAUUAGGGAAGAACAUAUGUGUAAGUAACUGUGCACAUCUUGACGGUACCUAAUCAGAAAGCGACGGCUAACUACGUG
This 497-nucleotide ribosomal RNA is filed under the name uncultured bacterium. Its description in RNAcentral is "partial 16S ribosomal RNA". It matches the Rfam family "Bacterial small subunit ribosomal RNA", at positions 28 to 507 of the family's 1533-position model. The record is from RNAcentral.